AGCAGAGUUCAAAACGGGAGCACUCUGUUGUAUUGUGGCCUCGAGGCCACUGGUAACAACCAAAUCACCACCCCGCAGCGGCAGAGAUGUUCUUCCAUCGCGUCAAGAUGAAGCACUGCAAUGGCGAACUAAUCUCAGCUUCUUACCUGCUGUAAAUACUGGAGAUGGUUUGGAUCAGGAUACGAGCGAUGAUGAGAGUCACAGGUUUGGACUGUACUCGAGCACAAGUAGACAAAGUGAAACUUUGGAAUCCUGUUUUCAGCAAUCGCCAAGAUGGGCUUCGACCUCGUCUGCUUCUGGUGGGAUUGAACAGGACACUGUACCAAUAACAAAUAACUCAAAGCCGCAAUGCUUGGAUGAGGUAAGUUGAUCUUCUUACAAUCUUCAAGAUGAGCUUUUCAUGAUAGAUGAACCAUGUACCUCGCUGAUGUACUUGUAUUACAGGAGAAAAGUAUUGAUAGAGAAAGUACAGCGAGUUUCAGCUCGUUGCUGACUCUAUCAGAACCAACAACUGCCUCACGAAUAGCUCCAAGCAAGCAACCUUUAAGCCUUGCUCACUGUUCUUAUCCUCGAGUCUUCUGCAACCCGGUUUCAGAUUGUGAGAAUCAUGAACUUCAUCAUCCCCAAGAAGACGCAUUCACAGAUCCUGUUUCCAGUUUCAUGAUGUCUACAAUAAACCACCAAGGCUCACAAGUAGAGAAAGCAUCAUCAAACUCUAGUAACAGCACGAGUAGCAAUGACAACACGCUGCUAGAUGUGGAAAGAUCCAACGAAACACAGGCAGCAAACCAGAGACUUGAACCAGGUUCAACGACACAAGCCACACAACAUAGAUGCGGGGUUUGCAAAAAGCUCCUAUCUCAGAAAUCACCAUGGUGCUCUCAUAAGAUACUGAGAAGUGGAGACAUGCCAGCUGCUGGUGUUUUCCCCUGCCACCACGUCUACCAUGUCGAAUGUUUAGACAAAGUGACCCCAACUUCUCAAACCCGAGAUCCGUCUUGUCCUGCUUGCUCACAUACCAUCGGAGCAUUCGAGCAUGAACUGAUGAUAGCGCCUGAGACGCUGCAACAGGCUCUAAGAUCUCUAAGAAGAAGCCACACAGCUACGGGUUCAGAGCUGCUUAGUACCGACAAUCAAACAAGACAGAUUAGAAGACGACAUAAAUGGGAAAAACUAAGCUGCUGUUUGAAUAUAAGCUUCCUAUCUUCUUCCUAAAAUCCAACAUGACCUUAUACUAUAUUUAGGUUCCUCUAUAACUCAUACCUGGAUCUAGCUCAUAAGUGUAACCAUAUGUUUACUACCUACAUUGAUUUACUAUGCCAUUGUAACAGCAAAUAAGGAUGAAUAUUUACUUGUAGACCAAAAGAAACUCUAUUCAAGACAGUUUGUAAGACAAAAAAAAAAACCCUUUCAGUCAAAAUUUGUCGAGAAUUGGAAUCAAAAACAAAAACCUAAAAAAGAAUCAAAAUCAAAAAAUUUAAAACUUAAAUAUAUUUGUUGGGGGGGAGUUAAAGCUCGCAAAAGCCAUCCCUGCGCCAAGUAAAUCGUACGCUCAGGCAGCAAGCAGUCUUCAUCGCUGAAAACAAAGGGAUUAUAUAAAAGAUAAGGUAUUGAAGCCUUCCCGUCACCAGAGCCGCCGGCCAUAGCUUCCAAACGAAUGGACAUGGGGUUGCUCGUGAUGAUCGGAGAAGGUCAAAAAACCUAAUCCUUGAGCCCUUUUUCUCAACUCAGAUAAGAUCAAGUAGUUUAGAAGCUCAGAGUUGGUUACUUGCUCCAUAUUUAUACUAGUCUUUGGUCAAAGCCCUAACCCUAGUCUCCUAAAUUUUUCCGCCUCCAAUUGGGAAUUUCCAAGACUACCCUCGUGUAAAGAGAUAUAUUAACAUAACAGAUCCAAAAUUAUUAUAAUAUUCUUAAGAAACCCCUUAUCUCCUGAAAGAGCACAAAUGAUCCUAAAUUGAGCUUUCUUUAUACGAGUGAUAAGAAUGAUCCAUGGACAGAGAGAAUAGACUCUGAAACACCAAACAAUAAAAAGCCCUUGGCACAACUUAAGCUUUCUUUAGAACUACAGAGUUUUAAGUAGAAGUAUUUACACCAAGAACCAGAAAAGAAAAUGAACAAAAGGGAAAGCUAUGCUGUGUGUUUUACAGAGGAGUUGUUGUAGACUUUUGCAUUUUGUUCUUCUCUUGUGCCUUUGGUGGCUGAGACGAACGGACUGCUGCUUGAUAUGAAGAGGAAGCAAGCUGCGCCAGUGCUGGUACGGUGCCACCUGCAAACAUUAAAGACCAGGUUCAUUCUUGCCAUAGUCAAUAAGUGACCAAGAGAUCAAAAAAGGAACUUAUGUUCCACAACAGUAAGAAAGUAGUGGAGGAUGAGGAGGGGGGAAGAAGAUCCCAAACCUGCUAGUCCAGCACAGGCCGAUGAAACAACUAUAACAGGCGGUGCCUGCAUUGACACAGAAAUGAAAAUUCAAUUGCUUCAUCAGUAUGGAAAAGGGUUAAGCAAUUCACUGGUCUUUUCCCCAGAAAAAUUAUGAAUUGAAAUGGAACAAAAUGAAACAAAGCAUGAUGAAAAGAAGAAGAGAACUCUGCAUCUUUUGUAAAUAACUUACCCCAACAAGAAAGUGUAACCACAUGGGUCCUUUUACCCACUUGCGUACAAUUGGCAUCACUGCGUCAAUCAAAAAAAGCCAAACAGACUCGGACUCUUUUAAGCAAAGCUUUAAAUCUAACUUGUAUCAGUGUAGACUAAAACCAACACAAAACUAGAUUACAAAUACAGAUACAAUUAAGAUAUCCGGAUCCGGAUCCGGCUUUGACGGAUCCAACAUUUUACUAUCCGGAUCCGGAUUCGGCCCCUCCGGAUAUCCGGAUUUUCGGAUCGGAUCCGGAUCGAAUCUCGGAUCGAAUCCGGAUCUCGGAUAAAAGUUCCAGGCCUAAUAUAUACUACACUGAAAUACGGUGACUGUACUGAAUAUCUGAUGUGGUUCUAUAUUUAUGUUUUUAUUAUUGCGUUCGGGUCUGGAAAUUAAAUAUAAAGGUUGCAUAUAUGCAAAUAUACAUAUAUAUAUAUAUAUAUUUGAGCAUAAUGUUUAUUUACAUUUAACUAGUGUUUUAUUCGAUUGGGCGCCACUGUAACUAGCAAACACUUCAACUUGUCAAUGAUAAAAUAAAUUACUCCUAGUAACAUAAAUGAGUGUCAUUUUUUAAAUUAAUACUGCAUAGUUAAAAGUUACUCCCUCCGUUUCUACAUGAUCCAUGUUUAAGAAAAAUAUUUUGUUUCUAAAAGAUCAAUAUUUUACAUUUUCAAUGUAUGUUAUAAUGUCAAAUUGUAAACUUCAAAAACAUUAAUUGUGUUUACUGAAUUUUGAUUAGUUUAAAGUCAUUGGAAAUAACUAAACACGGAAAGUAAUACAUUUAUUAUCAAAAAUUUACGUGUUUUCUUAAUAACUGUGAAAACUCUAAAACAUGGAUCAUUCCGAAAUGGAGAGAGUAGUAUUUAAUUAGUUUUUAUUGAUAAAUUUAAAUAGAUAGGUCGAAGGAAUAUUAUUAUUAAAACCUUUUUUUGUUGGUUACAAGAUUAUGCAUGUACACACAUUUUAUAUUGUCUUUUUGUUGUUUUUGAAGAAUGAAGAACCUUGAGUUCUGUGAAGUGUUAACUAUUUAUUGAUAUACAAUACUCCCUCAGUUUUUUUAUAUAAGUCGUUUUAGAGAAAUUUUUAUGUUCCAAAUUAUAUGACGUUUUCGGUUUUCUGUGUAAAAUUUAUUAACACUUAAUGUUGUUUGACCAAUGAUAAUAUACCUUCUAUUUUAUUAUUGGUUGAUUUGUGGUUAGGUAAAUAAUUAAUGAUGUUUUUGUUUAGAAAAUAUAAAAAAUUAAUGAUUUCUUAAUCUACGUGCAUAAUUCUAAAACGACUUAUAUUAAAGAACGGAGGGAGUAAUACUUAAUACUAAUCGGCCCAAUAAUUUUUUUUUGCUUCUGGCCCCUAGAUUCCUAGGACCGGCUCUGUAUAUAACGACAAAGAAUUCAUUUUAAUUUUAAAAUUAAAAAGCAUGAACAUAUAUCUACUGUAUAAACAUAAUGCCAUGCAGCUAAUACAUUUUUCUUCUUCAAAUUCCCUUGACUUAUAGAUUCGUCUUAGUUCUUAUCCUUAAUAUUUUCUCUAUGCCCUUAUAUUACCAUAAUUUUCUAAAAUGAUGCAAACGUUCAAGUGUAGAUAAUUAUAUAAGCGACUUAAAAAGACAAAAAACUCUUAACCGUACAUAAAUAAAUGAUGUAUCGGGUUCAAUGUACUCUGCUUGUUUAGAAAUAAGCGUGUGAGUCUCUUCCACCUCAAAUUCAGGACAUAAAUCUCAUUAAUUAUGUGUUGAAUCAUGGACAUGAAUAUAAUGGUAAUUUUUUUGGCUUACAACAAUUGUAGAAAGCGAUUUUACUAAUUAAAAAAAAUUGUAAAAAGAAAAUGCAGGAAUAUGAGCAUUAUUUUAAUGCGCAUAAUAACAGGACUUUCCAUUUAAAGCGAAGCUUUUAGAUCGAUACUUGCAGCAAAGCUAACCGUUCUUUCCCGUUUUUCGGUUUCUAGAUGAUGAUCUCUAUUGCCUCUUUUAUACUGUCUCUUUCUUCCAUCCUUUUCUUUCAGUUCAUCAUGUUAUAUACACCAAACCAUAUUCUAUAAAUAUAAUCAUUUAUCGCCCAUAAGACAUAUACAUUGAAUGAUUUUUUUUUAAACACAUAUACAUUGAAUGAUUAUAUUUUGUCAUGGACAACUUAAUUUUGAUCAAUUAUUGUACUUUAUCAUUUUGUAUUGAAUUUUCUGUCAUCACCUAAAAUUGAAAUGAUACUGUAGAAAACAAGUGUGAAUUUAUAACAAAUGUAAAGUUUUUUGUUACAUAGUUUUCAAAACUUUCACAUUGAUGAGAAACUAUGCGGCACAUUAUACAAUUUAAUUAAAACACUUUUUAGGUUAGAGUUAUAGUAAAUAAAGUAGUUUUAUACUCCAUCCGUUCCCGAAAGUAAGAUUUUCUAAAGUAUACACGCUUAAUAAGAAUUUAAUAAAUGUUUAUAAUUUAAUUUAUUUUUUACUUUUUAAUACACUUUCCAAUAACUUUCUACCAAUGAAAUUUAAUCAAUUCAAAUAUUCUCAAUUAAUAUUUUUCAAAAAUAUAAAAAGUGUAUUUUAACAAUAUAGAAAAUCUAUCUUUGUGGAAUAAGAAAAUAUUUAAAAAAUUUUACUUUCGGGAAUGAAAAGAGUAUAUACGUACAAUGUAAAAGUUGACGUUCCAACUAAUACCACUUUUCUUUUUAACUUAAAGAUAUCACGAAUCUAUGAAAUGGUCUAAACUAAUUUUUAAACGGAACUGCAUUUCGCAGAUAAAUCCUUUUGGAUAUUCAGAUGGAUCGUAGAUGGACACAUUGAAGUGUAGUGGGAUGAUCCAACUAGCAUUGUUAGAACCAGUCUUCUUCUUCUUAAAAGAAAACAGUCCAAUUAUGUUGAAUUUUGUAUAAAUUAAAAAAUUAUUUUAGUAGUUAAAAUAUGUUUAAUAGUUGCGCUUAUGCAUAAAUCUAUAUUUGAGAUAUUGAAAUAUGAAUUAGCCGAAACCCUAUUAGGGUUUACUGGAGAAAGAAAUUUGACGGUCACAUGCGUUAGCCAAUGACUCUGCACCGUACACCUUCGCCUGUCUUGCGUAACCCAAACAAAACAUAGUACCAUUUCGAAAUGUUUUUGCUUAACCGGUUGCAGUUUCUCACAAAAAGUGUUUCUUUUACAGCUGAUUUGUUAUCAGUAAGAAGAUCCAAUUCUCAAUUUCAAAAGUUUGCAUGAUUUUGAUGUAAAAAGCAAUUAAGCGAUUAAAUUAAACAUUUCAUUAUUGUUACUAAGAGCGGAUCAGAUUAGACAGUAGAUAGCUAUACCAUGAGCCAUGGGUUUGACAAAAGGAAACAUAGCACUAAAUAUUGGGCUAAUGUAAAGAUCAUGGGCUUAGUUCAUUCAUAUUUUCAAUUUGUUGGGGAUGAGUAUUGUGUGUUAAUUAGGACAUAAAUCUCAUGGGCUGGACAUAAAUUGCUAGUUAUGGUCCUUAACGCCUUAUCGACUGGACUUUAAAACAAAAUCAAAUGAAAUAUUUUGAAGACCGAGGACUGAGUUUGACAAUACGAUAACAACAUUACAAAACACAAUUAAUUAUUCCGUUAAUUAAGAUAGAAAGUUGAUUUGUCUAAAAUAAAAGAUAGAAAGUUGAUUAUGAUAGGUCGAUAUUUGAGUGAAACACCUUUAUUCGACAACCACUAGUUGGUCUUGGUAUAAGGAUUAGCUGAGACUAUGAUUAACAGGUAAACAGGUUAACCCAUCGUAAACAAGGAUGGUGACAGAAAAUAAGGAAAAUGGCAUGAAAAUGGAAAAUGAUAGCUAUAUAAAUCGAAAUAACUUUUGAUAAAUAUAUCAUGUCAAUAUAGUCAUACAUGCCAUAACCAUAUUUGAUAAACCAAUAAUGAUUAUUCCUAUGUUAGGAAGAAAAAAACAAGAAAAAUCAAUGAGUGGGGGUUGAACAAAUACUAAUUAAAUAACAAAAAGAAGAUGAAUGAGAUAAUAAUUAACAAAACGACUAAGGGAGUGAUUAAUUAAUAAUUACCCAAUCUUCUCUCUCUCUCAUUCAAUAACUCCUCAGAGUAGUCGUUUCUCUCUCUAUUUCAAAAGAGAAGGAGCGCUCUUGCUUUCUCUCUUCUCGCCGCUUCUCCGCCAUCGAUCCUGCAAAAAAAGACUCUCUCUCUCUCUCUCUCUCCUCUUUGUCGUCGAAGUCACCAAGAUACAGUGAUCAUCAGUUUCCAGUUUGAAGGUAUAAGGAACUAUAAAUCUCUGCGCAAGUCUAAUCUUGGCUAUCACCGACACCUGAUCUUGCUUUUUCUCUAACACUCAAAUGAAUUUAACUUUACUAUGCUUGAUCUCGUUUGACUUGUGAUGCUUAAACAAUGUUUUUAGCUUCUGUUAGUUUAAAUUCCUGCUGGUUCUCCAGUCAUUGUAUGAGCUCAGAAACAGCUGUUACGAGCAGUGUACCUGUCUUAAUUUCGGUUCUUAUCCUCUAAACCAAACGGUAUAGUUUGUUGAUUCCAUUUUGCUACUGGUGUUUCGACAAGAGAUUAGUUUUCAUUCAAGAGUUAUUUAUUUUAACCACAAGCUAUAGGGGAUUUACCUAUGUAUAAAAGCAAAUAAUUUCAUUUAUAAUAUAAAGUAAGAUUACAGUGUGUACAAGUUCCUAAAGGCCCUCGGGUUUUAUUCCUGAUGUAGAAGUCUCACUGCAACGUUUGGAGCUGAAGGCGGUGAGAGUAAAGCAGAGUUCAAAACGGGAGCACUCUGUUGUAUUGUGGCCUCGAGGCCACUGGUAACAACCAAAUCACCACCCCGCAGCGGCAGAGAUGUUCUUCCAUCGCGUCAAGAUGAAGCACUGCAAUGGCGAACUAAUCUCAGCUUCUUACCUGCUGUAAAUACUGGAGAUGGUUUGGAUCAGGAUACGAGCGAUGAUGAGAGUCACAGGUUUGGACUGUACUCGAGCACAAGUAGACAAAGUGAAACUUUGGAAUCCUGUUUUCAGCAAUCGCCAAGAUGGGCUUCGACCUCGUCUGCUUCUGGUGGGAUUGAACAGGACACUGUACCAAUAACAAAUAACUCAAAGCCGCAAUGCUUGGAUGAGGUAAGUUGAUCUUCUUACAAUCUUCAAGAUGAGCUUUUCAUGAUAGAUGAACCAUGUACCUCGCUGAUGUACUUGUAUUACAGGAGAAAAGUAUUGAUAGAGAAAGUACAGCGAGUUUCAGCUCGUUGCUGACUCUAUCAGAACCAACAACUGCCUCACGAAUAGCUCCAAGCAAGCAACCUUUAAGCCUUGCUCACUGUUCUUAUCCUCGAGUCUUCUGCAACCCGGUUUCAGAUUGUGAGAAUCAUGAACUUCAUCAUCCCCAAGAAGACGCAUUCACAGAUCCUGUUUCCAGUUUCAUGAUGUCUACAAUAAACCACCAAGGCUC
RNAcentral lists this long non-coding RNA (8004 nucleotides) under Brassica napus (rape). Its description in RNAcentral is "long non-coding RNA (BNAP_LNC011786)". The record is from RNAcentral. Lineage: Eukaryota; Viridiplantae; Streptophyta; Magnoliopsida; Brassicales; Brassicaceae.